UACCAGCACCCCGAGUGGUCGGGACGUUUAUUGGGCCUAAAGCAUCCGUAGCCGGUUCUACAAGUCUUCCGUUAAAUCCAACUGCUUAACAGGUGGGCUGCGGAAGAUACUAUAGAGCUAGGAGGCGGGAGAGGCAAGCGGUACUCGAUGGGUAGGGGUAAAAUCCGUUGAUCCAUUGAAGACCACCAGUGGCGAAGGCGGCUUGCCAGAACGCGCUCGACGUUGAGGGAUGAAAGCUGGGGGAGCAAACCGG
RNAcentral lists this ribosomal RNA (253 nucleotides) under uncultured bacterium. RNAcentral describes it as "partial 16S ribosomal RNA". It matches the Rfam family "Archaeal small subunit ribosomal RNA", at positions 474 to 727 of the family's 1478-position model. The record is from RNAcentral.